GCCGCCAGGAAAUUACGAGCCCAAGCUUAAAACCCAAAGGACUUGACGGUGUUCCACCCCACUAGAGGAGCCUGUUCUAUAAUCGAUUCCCCCCGAUCAACCCCACCACCUUUUGAAUACUCAGCCUGUAUACCUCCGUCGCAAGCUUACCCUAUGAACGCACCCAGUGAGCCUAAUGAUUUAACACCCAUACGUCAGGUCAAGGUGCAGCCCACAAGGUGGAAAGAAAUGGGCUACAAUUUCUAUUUUAGAAUAAACGAAAGACUACAUGAAACAUACCCCCUGAAGGCGGAUUUAGUAGUAAAAAGAAAAUAGAGAGUUCUUUUUAAUUAGGCACUGGAACGCGUACACACCGCCCGUCACCCUCUUCAAGCACAAACAUUAUGUUAUUAACACCACACACCCCUAUAGAAGAGGUAAGUCGUAACACGGUAAGCGUACUGGAAAGUGCGCUUGGAAUAACAAAAUGUAACUUAACUAAAAGUGCCCUGCUUACACCAAGGACAUGUCUGUGAAACACCGACCAUUUUGAGCUUAAAACCUAGUCCUACCAAUCCCAAUAAAAUUAAACCAACCCCCCCCCGCCCGAAUAAAACAUUUUUUCACUUAGUAAAGGCGAUUAAAAAGUAUUUAAGAACUAUAAUGUUAGUACCGCAAGGGAAAGGUGAAAUAAAAAUGAAACAGAUUAA
This 689-nucleotide ribosomal RNA is filed under the name Mantophryne lateralis (Victoria Archipelago frog). RNAcentral's name for it is "partial 12S ribosomal RNA". The stretch from base 1 to 469 matches the Rfam family "Bacterial small subunit ribosomal RNA", at positions 868 to 1533 of the family's 1533-position model. Lineage: Eukaryota; Metazoa; Chordata; Amphibia; Anura; Microhylidae. The record is from RNAcentral.